This 201-nucleotide ribosomal RNA is filed under the name Triticum aestivum (bread wheat). RNAcentral's name for it is "partial small subunit ribosomal RNA". Lineage: Eukaryota; Viridiplantae; Streptophyta; Magnoliopsida; Poales; Poaceae. The record is from RNAcentral.
AUGAACCGCUUUUAUGGUUUUUUUUCUUUUAUUUUAAUUUUGGUUUGUUUUUUUCUUUUUUGCUUCCUUUCUUCCCAGAAAGCCUGCACCAAACCCAACGGUGAUCAUGUGUGCAAGGUUGAUUGCGGACGCCAAGGUUACGACAAGGAUAAAAGCUAUUGCGCAGCAGACUCUAGUGGCAUUUGCUGCUGUCAAAAGUAA